UUAUUCAGCAUCUGCUCUGCUGCAGACAGUGUUCUCACUGGAUCUCACAAGCUAAGAAGAGUCAGGCAUGGGUAGCACUUGGAGGAAAGAUCUCCAAAGAGAAAACAGUGCUGUAAGAA
This is a ribosomal RNA of Chelonoidis abingdonii (Abingdon island giant tortoise), 119 nucleotides long. The record is from Ensembl. NCBI's taxonomy places the organism in Eukaryota, Metazoa, Chordata, Testudines, Testudinidae.